GUGCUCGCUUCGGCAGCACAUAUACUAACACUGGAAUGAUACAGAGAAGAAUUAGCAUGGCCCCUGCGCAAGGAUGACGUGCAAACUCAUGAAGCGUUCCAUAUGUUU
RNAcentral lists this small nuclear RNA (108 nucleotides) under Chinchilla lanigera (long-tailed chinchilla). The record is from RNAcentral. Lineage: Eukaryota; Metazoa; Chordata; Mammalia; Rodentia; Chinchillidae.